Long non-coding RNA from Oncorhynchus keta (chum salmon), 454 nucleotides. RefSeq lists it as uncharacterized. Lineage: Eukaryota; Metazoa; Chordata; Actinopteri; Salmoniformes; Salmonidae. The record is from RefSeq and is a predicted model, not a curated record. The transcript is spliced from 3 exons.
GAGGAAGACCCUUCCCUGGUGCGUGGCGCCCCUCCAUUCCACUGCACAGUAAGCAGGAGGUGUGCCUGGCGACCCUCCACUCCACCGCACAGUAAGCAGGAGGUGUGCCUGGCGACCCUCCACUCCACCGCACAGUAAGCAGGAGGUGUGCCUGGCGACCCUCCACUCCACCGCACAGUAAGCAGGAGGUGUGCCUGGCGACCCUCCACUCCACCGCACAGUAAGCAGGAGGUGUGCCUGGCGACCCUCCACUCCACCGCACAGUAAGCAGGAGGUGUGCCUGGCGACCCUCCACUCCACCGCACAGUAAGCAGGAGGUGUGCCUGGAGACCCUCCACUCCGCUGCACAGUAAGCAGGAGGUGUGCCUGGUGGCCCUCCACAGUAAGCAGGAGGUGUGCCUGGCGACCCUCCACAGUAAGCAGGAGGUGUGCCUGGCGACCCUCCACUCCACUG